Molecule: long non-coding RNA, 596 nt
Filed under: Androctonus crassicauda
Lineage: Eukaryota; Metazoa; Arthropoda; Arachnida; Scorpiones; Buthidae
Source: RNAcentral
UACCAUUUGAUCAUAUUCAUCAUUUUAUUUAUUACUUCCUAUUGGCGUUACUUACUAAAUAAUGCCGAUUAAAAGAAAGUUUUUUCUCCAUGCUCCAUCAUUUUUGUUUACCAAACUCUGUAGGAACUAGGUGCAAAGACUCGCUCACUCUCUUUCUCUCCUACACCCACCAGAGAAAAUUAAACCCUGCCAUAGCCGAUGCGGCUGAUGUUACCGAAAUGGCUAGCUCAAGUACACCUUGUGUCUAACGUCCAUAACACAAGACAAAACGAUCUCGGUACGUGCACCAAUGUCAUAAAAGAGGGGAGUCACUUUUCCACUGGGCACAGUCAAUAUGUUGACAUUGUUAGAUCGAUGAACGUAGGCCUUGUCAUAACUGGCGAGACUCGACGGUAUGAUAAUGGAAAGUAGUGCAAUCAGAAGCUAUUAAUGGGCUAUUAUAGAAAAGGGUAGGCUUUUUUUUUCAUUGUCUCGACGCUGGAUAUGAUCUGGUGUUAGAUCAAUGCCUAUCCUUCACUUCCUCUGUGUGUCCUUUUGCAUCUUUUCCUUCUCUUUAAUGUUUGAUAUCGUCCUUUUCUUUACUGCUGACACUGCCU